This 253-nucleotide ribosomal RNA is filed under the name uncultured bacterium. Its description in RNAcentral is "partial 16S ribosomal RNA". It matches the Rfam family "Bacterial small subunit ribosomal RNA", at positions 524 to 776 of the family's 1533-position model. The record is from RNAcentral.
UACGGAGGGAGCUAGCGUUGUUCGGAAUUACUGGGCGUAAAGCGCGCGUAGGCGGCCUGCUAAGUCGCACGUGAAAUCCCCGGGCUCAACCCGGGAACUGCGUCCGAUACUGGCAGGCUUGAAUCCGGGAGAGGGAUGCGGAAUUCCAGGUGUAGCGGUGAAAUGCGUAGAUAUCUGGAGGAACACCGGUGGCGAAGGCGGCAUCCUGGACCGGUAUUGACGCUGAGGCGCGAAAGCCAGGGGAGCAAACGGG